This 575-nucleotide ribosomal RNA is filed under the name Filobasidium uniguttulatum. RNAcentral describes it as "eukaryotic LSU rRNA". It matches the Rfam family "Eukaryotic large subunit ribosomal RNA", at positions 72 to 635 of the family's 3401-position model. Lineage: Eukaryota; Fungi; Basidiomycota; Tremellomycetes; Filobasidiales; Filobasidiaceae. The record is from RNAcentral.
GGAUUCCCCUAGUAACGGCGAGCGAAGCGGGAAGAGCUCAAAUUUGAAAUCUGGUGGCCUCAGGUCAUCCGAGUUGUAAUCUAUAGAAGUGUUUUCCGUGCUGGCCCAUGUACAAGUCCCUUGGAACAGGGCGUCAUAGAGGGUGAGAAUCCCGUCCUUGACAUGGACUACCAGUGCUCUGUGAUACACUUUCAACGAGUCGAGUUGUUUGGGAAUGCAGCUCAAAAUGGGUGGUAAAUUCCAUCUAAAGCUAAAUAUUGGCGAGAGACCGAUAGCGAACAAGUACCGUGAGGGAAAGAUGAAAAGCACUUUGGAAAGAGAGUUAAACAGUAUGUGAAAUUGUUGAAAGGGAAACGAUUGAAGUCAGUCGUGCUCAAUGGACUCAGCCGUUCUGCGGUGUAUUUCCAUUGGGUGGGGUCAACAUCAGUUUUGAUCGCUGGAUAAAGGCAGGAGGAAUGUAGCACCCCCGGGUGAACUUAUAGCCUCUUGUCACAUACAGUGGUUGGGACUGAGGAACGCAGCAUGCCUUUAUGGCCGGGAUUCGUCCACGUACAUGCUUAGGAUGUUGACAUAAU